GAUUCUCUUCUAAAAUUUCCAAUGUUAAGUAUGUAAAAGAGUUCUUGGAAGUGGGUGGUUUACAAACUGGAUGAGAGAGAAAAUCUGUCAGCUAUCCCAACAAAAGGCAAAAUUCAAGCAACCACCCAGAGCCUGCAAAUCUUUAACCAAUUCACAUUGAAACGGCAGGAGCCACAAGCCAGAUUAACCAGAAAGGUUCCUAUGCUACAAGCAAAGCAAACAAAUCAUGAGAAUGAUAGCCAUUAGUGCAGAUUUUAGA
RNAcentral lists this unclassified non-coding RNA (259 nucleotides) under Hevea brasiliensis (rubber tree). The record is from RNAcentral. Lineage: Eukaryota; Viridiplantae; Streptophyta; Magnoliopsida; Malpighiales; Euphorbiaceae.